RNAcentral lists this ribosomal RNA (253 nucleotides) under uncultured bacterium. RNAcentral's name for it is "partial 16S ribosomal RNA". It matches the Rfam family "Bacterial small subunit ribosomal RNA", at positions 524 to 776 of the family's 1533-position model. The record is from RNAcentral.
UACGUAGGGUGCAAGCGUUAAUCGGAAUUACUGGGCGUAAAGCGUGCGCAGGCGGUUUUGUAAGACAGGCGUGAAAUCCCCGGGCUUAACCUGGGAAUGGCGCUUGUGACUGCAAAGCUGGAGUGCGGCAGAGGGGGAUGGAAUUCCGCGUGUAGCAGUGAAAUGCGUAGAUAUGCGGAGGAACACCGAUGGCGAAGGCAAUCCCCUGGGCCUGCACUGACGCUCAUGCACGAAAGCGUUGGGAGCAAACAGG